AAGACCAUACUUUCAGGGAUCAUUUCUAUAGUUCGUUACAAUGCAUAAGGACCCAAGUUUGAGCCUUCAAUCCCCACCUACAGGGAUAAAGCUUUGCAAGUGGU
Molecule: small nucleolar RNA, 104 nt
Filed under: Erinaceus europaeus (western European hedgehog)
Lineage: Eukaryota; Metazoa; Chordata; Mammalia; Eulipotyphla; Erinaceidae
Description: Small nucleolar RNA U3
Rfam family: Small nucleolar RNA U3
About the family: Small nucleolar RNAs (snoRNAs) are involved in the processing and modification of rRNA in the nucleolus.
Source: Rfam by way of RNAcentral